This 372-nucleotide ribosomal RNA is filed under the name Fusarium solani. RNAcentral describes it as "eukaryotic LSU rRNA". The stretch from base 55 to 208 matches the Rfam family "5.8S ribosomal RNA". Lineage: Eukaryota; Fungi; Ascomycota; Sordariomycetes; Hypocreales; Nectriaceae. The record is from RNAcentral.
CCCCUAAACUCUGUUUCUAUAUGUAACUUCUGAGUAAAACCAUAAAUAAAUCAAAACUUUCAACAACGGAUCUCUUGGUUCUGGCAUCGAUGAAGAACGCAGCAAAAUGCGAUAAGUAAUGUGAAUUGCAGAAUUCAGUGAAUCAUCGAAUCUUUGAACGCACAUUGCGCCCGCCAGUAUUCUGGCGGGCAUGCCUGUUCGAGCGUCAUUUCAACCCUCAAGCACAGCUUGGUGUUGGGACUCGCGUUAAUUCGCGUUCCUCAAAUUGAUUGGCGGUCACGUCGAGCUUCCAUAGCGUAGUAGUAAAACCCUCGUUACUGGUAAUCGUCGCGGCCACGCCGUUAAACCCCAACUUCUGAAUGUUGACCUCGG